This 406-nucleotide ribosomal RNA is filed under the name uncultured bacterium. RNAcentral describes it as "partial 16S ribosomal RNA". It matches the Rfam family "Bacterial small subunit ribosomal RNA", at positions 29 to 526 of the family's 1533-position model. The record is from RNAcentral.
ACGAACGCUGGCGGCUGCUUAACACAUGCAAGUCGAACGGAGUGGCGAACGGGUGAGUAACGCGUGAGCAACCUGCCUAUGACAGUGGGAUAGCCUCGGGAAACCGGGAUUAAUACCGCAUAGUCAUAGAUGGGCUCGCGGCUGAUUAGCCAGUUGGUGAGAUAACAGCCCACCAAGGCGACGAUCAGUAGCCGGUCUGAGAUGAGGAACGUCCACAUUGGAACUGAGACACGGUCCAAACUCCUACUGGAGGCAGCAGUGGUGCAUAUUGCACAAUGGGGGAAACCCUGAUGCAGCGACGCCGCGUGAACGAAGAAGGUAUUCGUAUCGUAAAGUUCUGUCCUAUGGGAAGCAGUACCCUAGAAGAAAGCUCCGGCUAAAUACGUGCCAGCAGCCGCGGUAAUUC